UGACCGCUGGCGGCGUGCCUACUACAUGCAAGUCGAGCGAACAGACGAGGAGCUUGCUCCUCUGACGUUAGCGGCGGACGGGUGAGUAACACGUGGAUAACCUACCUAUAAGACUGAGAUAACUUCGGGAAACCGGAGCUAAUACCGGAUAAUAUAUUGAACCGCAUGGUUCAAUAGUGAAAGACGGUUUUGCUGUCACUUAUAGAUGGAUCCGCGCCGCAUUAGCUAGUUGGUAAGGUAACGGCUUACCAAGGCGACGAUGCGUAGCCGACCUGAGAGGGUGAUCGGCCACACUGGAACUGAGACACGGUCCAGACUCCUACGGGAGGCAGCAGUAGGGAAUCUUCCGCAAUGGGCGAAAGCCUGACGGAGCAACGCCGCGUGAGUGAUGAAGGUCUUCGGAUCGUAAAACUCUGUUAUUAGGGAAGAACAAAUGUGUAAGUAACUAUGCACGUCUUGACGGUACCUAAUCAGAAAGCCACGGCUAACUACGUG
RNAcentral lists this ribosomal RNA (495 nucleotides) under uncultured bacterium. RNAcentral's name for it is "partial 16S ribosomal RNA". It matches the Rfam family "Bacterial small subunit ribosomal RNA", at positions 30 to 507 of the family's 1533-position model. The record is from RNAcentral.